AAAAAAAUAAUCUCCAAGCUAUUGGGCCCAUAACCCAAAAAUGAUACAAAGUCUCUUA
Molecule: transfer RNA, 58 nt
Filed under: Physella acuta
Lineage: Eukaryota; Metazoa; Mollusca; Gastropoda; Physidae
Description: transfert RNA-M(ATG)
Source: RNAcentral